RNAcentral lists this transfer-messenger RNA (397 nucleotides) under Candidatus Cryptobacteroides caccocaballi. It matches the Rfam family "transfer-messenger RNA". From Rfam's summary of the family: Bacterial tmRNA, also known as 10Sa RNA or SsrA, is named for its dual tRNA and mRNA-like properties. The record is from RNAcentral. Lineage: Bacteria; Pseudomonadati; Bacteroidota; Bacteroidia; Bacteroidales.
GGGGCUGUUUUGGUUUUGACAGCACAUGACAUUGGACGGUAAGCACGUCGGGCGUCGUAGCCUUGCCCGUUAAUCUCAGACUUCAAACAAUUAGUUGGCAACAACUCUUAUGCACUCGCUGCGUAAUUAACCAAGUUAAUUACCUUAAUCCGGUCCGCCAAGGCUGCGGGCCCGACGAGUAUCCCUCAGGCCUUUAAGCCGGUUAUGGCCUGAAUCAGGGGUAUCAUUCAAACCGGAUGCUGCAGCGGACUCCUUUAAAGCUGCCUAAGACCUAAAGGAUAAGCCUUGGAUGGCCCGCCUUUCGGCAGCCCUCGGACGAAAACCAAAGGAAGGAUAAGCGUGUAGAAAGCCGCCUGGUGCGGUGUUUGGACGGCGGUUCGAGUCCGCCCAGCUCCAC